CGGGAUGGACUGACUCGUCAGAGAGUGCGUCUCUGAUCGACGUGGGAUGGACCUCUGUUUGGGUCAAGAUUUGCACCGGUUGGGCCACGGCUGCACUCUACAUCUGGACACUCAUCGCACCCCUCAUCCUUCCGGAUCGUGAGUUCUACUAAAUUGCAAUAUUGGUCAGUAGAGGGCAUCAGUUAAUAUAAUCUGGUGAAUGUAAGUAUAUGUUUAUGUAUUAGCAACUUAAAAAUGGGUAUGGUCUUGUAUGUAGCUCUUUAUCAUAUUCUAUAUACUUGUAAUUAAAAACCUGAAGUAAAAGACCUUGAAUGUUGGUUGUGUUCUUGGAACCUUUGUAUUAUGUAGUGAACUGUUA
RNAcentral lists this long non-coding RNA (358 nucleotides) under Brassica rapa (field mustard). RNAcentral describes it as "long non-coding RNA (BRAP_LNC003932)". Lineage: Eukaryota; Viridiplantae; Streptophyta; Magnoliopsida; Brassicales; Brassicaceae. The record is from RNAcentral.